This 940-nucleotide ribosomal RNA is filed under the name uncultured bacterium. Its description in RNAcentral is "bacterial SSU rRNA". It matches the Rfam family "Bacterial small subunit ribosomal RNA", at positions 8 to 937 of the family's 1533-position model. The record is from RNAcentral.
AGAGUUUGAUCAGGGCUCAGAUUGAACGCUGGCGGCAGGCUUAACACAUGCAAGUCGAGCGGCAGCGGAAAGAAGCUUGCUUCUUUGCCGGCGAGCGGCGGACGGGUGAGUAAUGUCUGGGGAUCUGCCCGAUGGAGGGGGAUAACUACUGGAAACGGUAGCUAAUACCGCAUAAUGUCGCAAGACCAAAGUGGGGGACCUUCGGGCCUCACACCAUCGGAUGAACCCAGAUGGGAUUAGCUAGUAGGUGGGGUAAUGGCUCACCUAGGCGACGAUCCCUAGCUGGUCUGAGAGGAUGACCAGCCACACUGGAACUGAGACACGGUCCAGACUCCUACGGGAGGCAGCAGUGGGGAAUAUUGCACAAUAGGGGAAACCCUGAUGCAGCCAUGCCGCGUGUGUGAAGAAGGCCUUCGGGUUGUAAAGCACUUUCAGCGGGGAGGAAGGCAAUGGCGUUAAUAGUGUCAUUGAUUGACGUUACCCGCAGAAGAAGCACCGGCUAACUCCGUGCCAGCAGCCGCGGUAAUACGGAGGGUGCGAGCGUUAAUCGGAAUUACUGGGCGUAAAGCGUACGCAGGCGGUCUGUUAAGUCAGAUGUGAAAUCCCCGGGCUUAACCUGGGAACUGCAUUUGAAACUGGCAGGCUAGAGUCUCGUAGAGGGGGGUAGAAUUCCAGGUGUAGCGGUGAAAUGCGUAGAGAUCUGGAGGAAUACCGGUGGCGAAGGCGGCCCCCUGGACGAAGACUGACGCUCAGGUACGAAAGCGUGGGGAGCAAACAGGAUUAGAUACCCUGGUAGUCCACGCUGUAAACGAUGUCGAUUUGAAGGUUGUGGUCUUGAGCCGUGGCUUUCGGAGCUAACGCGUUAAAUCGACCGCCUGGGGAGUACGGCCGCAAGGUUAAAACUCAAAUGAAUUGACGGGGGCCCGCACAAGCGGUGGAG